UAGAGUUUGAUCAUGGCUCAGAUUGAACGCUGGCGGCAGGCCUAACACAUGCAAGUCGAGCGGUAACAGGAAUUAGCUUGCUAAUUCGCUGACGAGCGGCGGACGGGUGAGUAAUGCCUGGGAAUAUGCCUUAGUGUGGGGGAUAACUAUUGGAAACGAUAGCUAAUAUCGCAUAAUGUCUUCGGACCAAAGAGGGGGACCUUCGGGCCUCUCGCGCUAAGGUUAGCCCAGGUGAGAUUAGCUUGUUGGUGAGGUAAGAGCUCACCAAGGCGACGAUCUCUAGCUGGUCUGAGAGGAUGAUCAGCCACACUGGAACUGAGACACGGUCCAGACUCCUACGGGAGGCAGCAGUGGGGAAUAUUGCACAAUGGGCGCAAGCCUGAUGCAGCCAUGCCGCGUGUAUGAAGAAGGCCUUCGGGUUGUAAAGUACUUUCAGUGGGGAGGAAGGUGUUGUCGUUAAUAGCGGCCGCAUUUGACGUUACCCACAGAAGAAGCACCGGCUAACUCCGUGCCAGCAGCCGCGGUAAUACGGAGGGUGCGAGCGUUAAUCGGAAUUACUGGGCGUAAAGCGCAUGCAGGUGGUUCAUUAAGUCAGAUGUGAAAGCCCGGGGCUCAACCUCGGAACCGCAUUUGAAACUGGUGAACUAGAGUGCUGUAGAGGGGGGUAGAAUUUCAAUCCCUGCGGCCCCAUGGCCGGGGCGCCGG
RNAcentral lists this ribosomal RNA (705 nucleotides) under uncultured Vibrionaceae bacterium. RNAcentral describes it as "bacterial SSU rRNA". It matches the Rfam family "Bacterial small subunit ribosomal RNA", at positions 1 to 721 of the family's 1533-position model. Lineage: Bacteria; Pseudomonadati; Pseudomonadota; Gammaproteobacteria; Vibrionales; Vibrionaceae. The record is from RNAcentral.